AGCAACUGGAAGAGUGCCGAUACUCUUUAGUAAAUUACAUAAUGAGAAGGACCAAAGGGAAUAAAAGUGAAAGAUCGGGAGUCUACGGAGUUCCGAUUAAAUAUAACAUUACACAACAGGAAGCAGUUACAUGGGUAUAAUUAUAAGAACAUUAAACCAGAGACUAGAGGAAUGUAGAAAUGAUAUUGCAACUAAUAUAUUAACAACUGCCCUAGCAAUAGAAGCAUAUUACACUGACAUAGAAGUAAAGUGGGAACAAGCUAAAAUAAUUAAACUGAUCACUGUGAAAUCUCAAGCUGUAAUCGAAGAAACAAUUGAGAUAUUAAAGAGGCAAGAAAAAGAAAAGCUUACAAAUGACAGACCAACUAUGGAAGUAUCCACACCAUGAAAAUAUUACGAGAAUCAAAAGGAAGGACAGUAGUAAAACAGUACGAACGACAGCGGGGCAACCAUCAAAUAGACGUGUGUACGAUACCAGUGGAAGAUAGCUUUUUUUUAUAUAAUGCAUUUUAUUGUAUUUUAUUUGUUGUGUUUUUUUGUUUCUUUACAUUUACUCAGUUUAUUUAUGCUUAUUUGUAUUUUAU
This 584-nucleotide long non-coding RNA is filed under the name Androctonus crassicauda. Lineage: Eukaryota; Metazoa; Arthropoda; Arachnida; Scorpiones; Buthidae. The record is from RNAcentral.